UUCUUUUUUCUUCGUUUUGGUCUUGCCUGCCGACGCUGAACCGCUUGAUGACGCGGGUUUACGCUUGCGCUUCGUCGCCUGGCAACACCGUACCAAUCAACAAGUCACACAGUGUGCACUGCAUGCAUGCUGGCACCAUGUGUUGUGACGACGCACCGGCUUGCGAGAUGUGGUGGACUUGGCGGCUGGCAGCGUCGGUU
RNAcentral lists this ribosomal RNA (200 nucleotides) under uncultured eukaryote. RNAcentral describes it as "partial 18S ribosomal RNA". The record is from RNAcentral.